Molecule: ribosomal RNA, 98 nt
Filed under: Citrobacter freundii complex sp. CFNIH7
Lineage: Bacteria; Pseudomonadati; Pseudomonadota; Gammaproteobacteria; Enterobacterales; Enterobacteriaceae
Also listed under: 1 other name
Description: partial 16S ribosomal RNA
Rfam family: Bacterial small subunit ribosomal RNA
Source: RNAcentral
UUAAAUUGAAGAGUUUGAUCAUGGCUCAGAUUGAACGCUGGCGGCAGGCCUAACACAUGCAAGUCGAACGGUAGCACAGAGGAGCUUGCUCCUUGGGU